CGGGAGUGGGGGGGGGGCGUCAACCCUUAGUAGAGGCGGCACCAGGAGGAUCUUUUUUUUUUGAUUCCUCCCUCACCCCCGCCCGGGGAAAAAAAAAUAAAAAAGAUCUGCACGAGACGCUGAGGGAAGGUAGAAACGUCAAUUUUUCAUGUUGGAGAGAGAGAGAAAAAAAUCCGAAAUGGAAAAUGAUUUUAUUGGUCACUACCCAUAAGUCAACUAAAAACAGGGAUAAUUAGAGAGUGGGGAAUUCGGAGGCCAUAAAUCCGCGGCGCCCUCUCCACGGGCGUCGGGGGGCUUACGGCUUGUUGGGUUUUACUUUGAGAGCCACGGGGUCCGGCGCUUUGGUGGAAGCGGGACCUUCCCGCCGAGCGCCGCGGACGCCGGGAGGAGGCCACAGCCAGGGCUCGCUCGCUUCGUCCGGGAGAGAGGAGCCCUUGCCGGGGCCGGGCCAACCCGCCUGCGCGCAGGGCGUCACAUCCUUCCUCUCCCAAACUGCGACGCGCAGACACUAGCUAUGCCUGGGGCCCGGAGCUUUUACAACGACAUUCACUCCACUUGCGGCUUCCAAACGUCCACCCCGUCCUGCACGCUUGGGGGCCUUUUGUUCGCAUUUACAGGGAGGAGGGGGAUGGAACAAAAAAACAAAACAAAAACACAACACAAAAACAAAAACCCACCUUACUCUGCAAUCUUGCGCAAAGCGGCCGGGAGUACUUUUUCACUCCACAGGGGUUUCUAAAACCCCACCGUCGGCCAGAGGCCCAUUUCCUCUUCUGAAACGGUCUUCUCACGAAGCCACCCUUUGCAGACCGUGUAAAAUCCCAUUAUCAGGUAAGGCAGCGGGACACUUCUGACUCAGCUGCGGCUAAUUUGGGGGAGAAAGGAAGGUGAAUUCUUCAGGAACUCCAAAAUAAAAGCGCCCCUUCCCUUGCAACUCGCGCCAAGCUUUCCCCUUUGUUUUAAACACACAAACAAAAACCCUUGUCCUUCCUGGGGACGGGGCGGGGAGAACUGCGCAUCCACAUUCAGAAGCGCUCUCCCCCUAAAAACUAUUCUCCCAGGAGCUCUUUUGUUUGAAGUGGGGAUGGGGGAGGGGAUGGGGCCGCUACCAGGCUCUUCUGACCCGAAAAAAAAAAAAAAAAAAAGUCCGCCGCCGGUGUCACCUAACCGCGUAAAUGUGAAGUUCCCGGGGCCAGGAGGGGUUCCUUCCUGGACCCCCGCCCAGCAGCAGCAGCCAAGGCCGGGUCUCCCUAACGCGAGUUCCCUCCAACUGAGGUCCCUACAUCUCCAAAGUAAACACCCCGGAUCCGAAAGCAGGAAUCCCAGGUUUCCGGGUGGGGGUGGCCGUAUGAACGACUACGAAUCAGAGCCAUCCGGCUGUGGUACCCACGGAGUCCGGAGAGCCGGGGAGGUCUGCGGGCGCGCCCCGCGGCGAGGGGUUCCAGAGCACCGCGCAGGGGCUCCCCGAGUCCGGCAGCCGUCCCGGGACCCCUCAGAAAGCCACGCUUGCUGCGAAAAUCUCAUGCCCAGCAGCUAGGUUCUUAUUCGUCCCUCCCCAGCGACGGCUGUGGGCGCGCGGGAAACCAGGAGCGCACGUACCUGGCACCGCUCCGAGGGCGGCCUCGCGCGGGCCUUCCGUCGCCUAGGGAGCCCCCAGAAGCCACUCCCCGCCCGGCUGGUCGCCCCCAGGCCUGUCCCGCCCUCCCCGGCCUCGCACACCGCCGAGCUAAGUCUCCAGGGAGCCGGAGCGGACACUCGGCCCUCCUUUCCGGGAGCAGGAUCCUUUCUCCAAAGCCAAGGCCCGUGCCAGCUCUGGGGCCACCGUCCGCUCGCAGGGCUCCCCGCGGUCCUUCCUCCGGAUCGGGAGGGAGGGAGGGAGUGGGGCUGCCUAGACGCAGACCUGCGGUUCGUUCGCGCUGCAGCUCCAGGCUCGCUCCUGCGUAUCCGGGUUCCCUACUGCGAGACCGGGACGGACUCUGAGACCUCCGGGAAGAGGAGGCAGCGGCCGCGGUCCAGGCAGAAGCCCGGGGGCGGGAGGGGUACCAGCGCCCCGCGGCCACGGCCCUCGGGGGGCGCCGAGCCCCACCCACGUGGAGGACCCCUCCCCGCCUCCGCGAGGGCAGCGUCCCCGCCCGUCUCCGGGCUCCCGCCUAGCUCCGCCCAAUCGCCUCCCGCAGCGGCCGCUCCCUUUG
Molecule: long non-coding RNA, 2192 nt
Filed under: Cricetulus griseus (Chinese hamster)
Lineage: Eukaryota; Metazoa; Chordata; Mammalia; Rodentia; Cricetidae
Description: lncRNA (ENSCGRG00015036097.1)
Source: RNAcentral